GGUAACAGCGUGACAGGUGGCGCGGAAAUGCGGGUGGUGCAGUGGGUAAUCAGAAGUACUGGGCGUAAAUCUCACGCAGGCGGUUAGAUAAUAUAGAAAGGAAAGACCCGGGUUCAAACUGGGAAUUGCAUUUUAAACUGUCCAGCUAGAGUCGUGUAGAGUGGGGUAGAAUGCCAAGUGUAGCGGUGAAAUGCGUAGAGAUCUGGAGGAAUACCGGUGGCGAAGGCGGCCCCCUGGACAAAGACUGACGCUCAGGUGCGAAAGCGUGGGGAGCAAACAGGAUUAGAUACCCUAGUAGUC
RNAcentral lists this ribosomal RNA (300 nucleotides) under uncultured bacterium. RNAcentral's name for it is "bacterial SSU rRNA". It matches the Rfam family "Bacterial small subunit ribosomal RNA", at positions 496 to 795 of the family's 1533-position model. The record is from RNAcentral.